UACCAGCACCCCGAGUGGUCGGGACGAUUAUUGGGCCUAAAGCAUCCGUAGCCGGUCAUGCAAGUCCUCCGUUAAAUCCACCUGCUUAACAGAUGGGCUGCGGAGGAUACUACAAGGCUAGGAGGCGGAAGAGGCAAGCGGUACUCAGUGGGUAGGGGUAAAAUCCUCUGAUCCAUUGAAGAUCACCAGUGGCGAAGGCGGCUUGCCAAUACGCGCUCGACGGUGAGGGAUGAAAGCUGGGGGAGCAAACCGG
This 253-nucleotide ribosomal RNA is filed under the name uncultured bacterium. Its description in RNAcentral is "partial 16S ribosomal RNA". It matches the Rfam family "Archaeal small subunit ribosomal RNA", at positions 474 to 727 of the family's 1478-position model. The record is from RNAcentral.